CAAUGAAGGAAACAUGGUAAUGUGCACAUAAAUUGAAUUGGGUCUCUAAGCCUGCCCUCUCUGAUGCCAUUUGGCUUUGAUUUAAGGGCAUAAUUCAGCAACAAAAUA
This is a small nucleolar RNA of Rhododendron vialii, 108 nucleotides long. RefSeq annotates it as small nucleolar RNA snoR100. The record is from RefSeq and is a predicted model, not a curated record. NCBI's taxonomy places the organism in Eukaryota, Viridiplantae, Streptophyta, Magnoliopsida, Ericales, Ericaceae. The transcript has a single exon.